This 500-nucleotide long non-coding RNA is filed under the name Vulpes vulpes (red fox). RNAcentral describes it as "lncRNA (ENSVVUG00000004456.1)". The record is from RNAcentral. Lineage: Eukaryota; Metazoa; Chordata; Mammalia; Carnivora; Canidae.
GGGUUGCCCUAGAAACAGCUUCACAAAGUUCUCCUCGAAGUUCUCAAAUAGAUACCAUUUGAUCUGUUCUCUCCCUCCCUUUCCUGAUCCGACACCGCCAUCCUCUCAACACACGUGCACUGGACAAUAUGGUCUACUAGAGGCAGGUUUCUGCAGAGCCCCAGUCUCAUUUCAACCCCGUCCUACAUAUCACCGCUGAAUCCAGGCCUUCUGGUACCUCCUGUAUCGUCCCUGAACCUUCCAGCCCCACCCUAAACUCUCUCUUCCUUUUCAUUUGGAUUUCUCUAGCUCUCUAACCGUGUCACCCAGUCACCCAGACUCUGAAGCUCAGGUUAUUGGCUGCCUGGCCCUCCAGACCUUCUGGCCUGUUCAUCAGACUGACCUUCCCCUCAACCCCCUUCCUGUCUGAUUUGUCCUCCCUGACGACCUCUAGACGGCACCUACUUCGGUGGCAGGAUAUGGUUACAGACUGUUGGAUUCCACUCACUGCCCACCUCUUG